GAGGGUAAAGCUCAGUGGUAGAGCAUAGGCUUAGCAUGCAAGAGGCCCUGAGUUCAAUUCCCAGUACUUCCA
Transfer RNA from Camelus ferus (Wild Bactrian camel), 72 nucleotides. It matches the Rfam family "tRNA". Rfam says of the family: Transfer RNA (tRNA) molecules are approximately 80 nucleotides in length. Their secondary structure includes four short double-helical elements and three loops (D, anti-codon, and T loops). Lineage: Eukaryota; Metazoa; Chordata; Mammalia; Artiodactyla; Camelidae. The record is from Rfam.